AGAGUUUGAUCCUGGCUCAGAUUGAACGCUGGCGGCAUGCCUUACACAUGCAAGUCGAACGGUAACAGGUCUUCGGAUGCUGACGAGUGGCGAACGGGUGAGUAAUACAUCGGAACGUGCCGAGAGUGGGGGAUAACGAAGCGAAAGCUUUGCUAAUACCGCAUACGAUCUCAGGAUGAAAGCAGGGGACCGCAAGGCCUUGCGCUCACGGAGCGGCCGAUGGCAGAUUAGGUAGUUGGUGGGAUAAAAGCUUACCAAGCCGACGAUCUGUAGCUGGUCUGAGAGGACGACCAGCCACACUGGGACUGAGACACGGCCCAGACUCCUACGGGAGGCAGCAGUGGGGAAUUUUGGACAAUGGGCGCAAGCCUGAUCCAGCCAUGCCGCGUGCAGGAUGAAGGCCUUCGGGUUGUAAACUGCUUUUGUACGGAACGAAAAGACUCUGGUUAAUACCUGGGGUCCAUGACGGUACCGUAAGAAUAAGCACCGGCUAACUACGUG
This 501-nucleotide ribosomal RNA is filed under the name uncultured bacterium. RNAcentral's name for it is "bacterial SSU rRNA". It matches the Rfam family "Bacterial small subunit ribosomal RNA", at positions 8 to 507 of the family's 1533-position model. The record is from RNAcentral.